Molecule: ribosomal RNA, 2787 nt
Filed under: human gut metagenome
Description: eukaryotic LSU rRNA
Rfam family: Eukaryotic large subunit ribosomal RNA
Source: RNAcentral
GCUCGGAGAUGUGUAUAAGAGACAGUAUUUAAUAAGAUCUAUCUCAAAUCAAGUAAGAUUACCUGCUGAAUUGAAGCAUCUAAGUAAGCAGAGGAAAAGAAAAUAACAAUGAUUCUCUUAGUAACGGCGAGUGAAUAGGGAAUAGCCCAAGCUUAAAUCAGCUUUGCUGAGUUGUAGUGUGUAGAAUCUAACUUUUGUUCAGUGUUAAUAUCAUAUAAUUUGGUUGGAAAACCAAGUAAUAGAAGGUGAUAACCCUGUAAUAUGAUAUGACUGAAUGUUGGAUUCUUGGAGUCGAGUUGUUUGGGAAUGCAACUCGAAGUGGGUGGUGAACUCCAUCUAAGGCUAAAUAUGUUCAAGAGACCGAUAGUGAACAAGUACCGUGAGGGAAAGAUGAAAAGAACUUUGAGAAAAGAGUGAAAUAGUACUUGAAAUCGUAUAGAGGUUAAGCAGAGUUGGUGGAUAUUGUAUUUGAAUGUACUAUAAUCAAUUGAUUAUGGCUUAUUCUUAUACAUAGUAUAAUUUGUGUGUGAAUUGGUUAAUAUUAAAACGAAUAUGCGCAUAAAUGAUAUAAAUCCUACAUCUCUGUCCCGUCUUGAAACACGGACCAAGGAGUCUAUCCUGUAUGCAAGUUGUAUGGUGUAAAACCAAUAAGCGUAAUGAAAGUAAGAGGUGUGAAAGUUGUAAAAGUGUCAACACCUGCCGAUCUAAAUUCUUUGAUGAAAGAUUCGAGUAUGAGCAUAUAGGGUGGGACCCGAAAGAUGGUGAACUAUGCCUGAAUAGGACGAAGCCAGGGGAAACUCUGGUGGAGGUUCGAGUGGAUUCUAACGUGCAAAUUGAUCUUUAAAUUUGGGUAUAGGGGCGAAAGACUAAUCGAACCAUCUAGUAGCUGGUUCAUUCCGAAAUUUCCCUCAGGAUAGCUGCAACUUAUGAAAUAGUUUUAUGAGGUAAAGCGAAUGAUUAGAGGUUUCUGGGAUGGAAUAUCCUGGACCUAUUCUCAAACUUUCAAUGGGUAAGAAAAGUGUGAUGUUUAAUUAAUCAUACUAUUUGAAUAUGAGUUGCAAGUGGGCCAUUCCGGGUAAGCUGGACUGGCAAUGCGGGAUCAACCGAACGCUAUGUUACGGCGCCAGAUUGUUCGCUCAGUUGGAUGUAAAAGGUGUUAGUUCAUCUAGACAGCAGGACGGUGGCCAUGGAAGUCGGAAACCGCCAAGGAGUGUGUAACAACUCACCUGCCGAAUGAAGUAGCCCUGAAAAUGGAUGGCGCUUAAGCGAACAGCCUAUACAUAGCCAUUAUUGUUAGGAUUAUACAAUAAUGAGUAGGAAUGCGUGAUGAAUGUUGUGAAGUAUGAUGUGUGAACAUGUAUGGAACAUUCAUUAGUGCAGAUCUUGGUGGAAGUAGCAAAUAUUCAAAUGAGAUCUUUGAAGACUGAAGUGGAGAAAGGUUCCAUAGGAAUAGUGAUUAUCUAUGGGUUAGUCGAUCCUAAGAGAUAGGUGAAAUCCAUUGAAAAGUCAAUUUCGAUUGACAUUUAUCGAAAGGGAAUCAGGUUAAUAUUCCUGAACCAAAGAGAAGGGUAAACGGUAACGUAUAGGGGUCUCAAGACAUUGAUGUUAUUCCCAGGAAGAGUUUUCUUUUCUUGUUAACAAAUGGGCAGUGCUUGGAAUCGAUUCAGUCGGCGAUAAGCAUUGUUAUUUGGUAAAGUACUACUAUUUUGUGUAGUAUCUGGUGCAAUGACAUGAAUCCUUGAAAAUUGAGACUUUUGUUUUCCCGAAGCUUUGGUCGUACUAAUAACCGCAUCAGGUCUCCAAGGUGAAUAGCCUCUAGUUAAUAGAAUAAUGUAGAUAAGGGAAGUCGGCAAAUUAGAUCCGUAACUUCGGGAUAAGGAUUGGCUCUGAGGGCUAAGUGGGUUUAAGGUGUUAAUAGUAUAAGUUUGAUAUGGGAUUGAGUGUUUUGAGUUGCUUCGGUGAUUUGAAAUAUUUGGUUCUAAUGUCUUAGUUGUCUAUUUUCAUCUACCACUAUGAAUAGCUAACUCAGAACUGGUACGGACAAGGGGAAUCCGACUGUUUAAUUAAAACAAAGCAUUGUGAUGGUGUGAAAGAUAUGUUGACACAAUGUGAAUUCUGCCCAGUGCUCUGAAUGUGAAAGUGGCGUAAUUCAAGCAAGCGCGGGUAAACGGCGGGAGUAACUAUGACUCUCUUAAGGUAGCCAAAUGCCUCGUCAUCUAAUUAGUGACGCGCAUGAAUGGAUUAAUGAGAUUCCCACUGUCCCUAUCUACUAUCUAGCGAAACCACAGCCAAGGGAACGGGCUUGGAAAUAUCAGCGGGGAAAGAAGACCCUGUUGAGCUUGACUCUAGUUUAACAUUGUGAAAUGACUUUAGAGGUGUAGCAUAGGUGGGAGGAGGUAACUCCGAUCCUGAAAUACCACUACUCUGAAUGUUGUUUUACUUAUUCCAUGAAAGAGGAUACUUACUUAAUUGUAAGUGUUAUGAUGUAAACUUUGGUGACCUCUUUGGGAGACAUUGUUAGGUGGGGAGUUCGGCUGGGGCGGCACAUCUGUUAAAGAAUAACACAGGUGUCCUAAGAUGAGCUCAAUAAGAACAGAAAUCUUAUGUAGAACAAAAGGGUAAAAGCUCAUUUGAUUUUGCUUUUCAGUAUGAAUACAAACUAUAAAAGUAUGGCCUAUCGAUCCUUUACAUAAAGGGAGAUCCUUGGUAGAGGUGUCAGAAAAGUUACCACAGGGAUAACUGGCUUGUGGCAGCCAAGCGUUCAUAGCGACGUUGCUUUUUGAUUCU